CAGAGGGUCUCUUUUGAUAUCAGCGGACGUCUAUUUUAAAAAGACACUUUAUUCUUCAAAGGAUGUUUACUCAGACUGGGUGAGGGGAGUGUGUGUUCAUAUGUGUGUGUUCAUCCGCACAAGGGUGUGUGUGUGUGUGUGUGUGUGUGUGUCUCGGUUCAAUAGAGUACCUACAAAGUGAGGGAUUAGUGAGUGAUUCAAGACCAUUCCUGAGGCAAGACCAGGCCCAUCCCACCUCACAUCACACCUGGACCGAGACUACUUUCCCUCAGGAUUGGCUAACUGCUUUUAAACAUCCGUACAGGCAAACCGAAUAAUCAGGAUCGGGGUCCCCUUCACCGUCUCCUGGAAUAUCACCCAGGAGUGAGCUCUCAGACCACAGGGAUGUAAAGAUGUCAAGGCUCAGGAUAGUUCCCCCUGGGGGGGGCACGGAGCUGAUCUCAUCUGCCUACAGUCAACAGGCCCUGUGCCUUAAACAAACAAACACACAGCUUAGCCUGCUAUCUGCGAUGGUCCUUCAGCAACCCGCUCUGCAGGAACAAUCACUUCCAAAGCUACAGCUCAACACAAUGGAGCCAGGAGGCUUUGGAAUCACAGAAUGAGAACAAUGCAGCCCGCAGCACAAUGACUGUUCAUCCAGCAGAGCCUGCUUGUUCUUCCUCUUGGCCUGCAGCUGCCUCUGCUCCUCCUGCAGCAGGUCCAGUCUCCGCUGCUCGUUGACCGUCUGCUCCUGCAGCAGCAUCUCCUCUAGAUCCUCCUGCUCUCGCGACUGAGGAGAACAGGGAUGGUGCAAAAAAGUGUGUCAAAUCUUUGACCACAAGGCUGAAUUCUCACCACCGUUGAACUUGACCCGUGGUCAACAUCUCCGAGGUGAAGCGUAAGCAGAAAAUACUAUGUAGGAAAAUACUUGGUACAAACCAGUUUAACUUUAUUCCUCUGGAUGAGAUCUCUGUUGUCCUUCUGGUACUGCUCCAUCCGUAGCUUAGUGUUCUCCACAUCUAUGUUGUUUGUCAGGUUAAACACUGCAGAGAAAAACGUAAGGUGUAAUUCCUCAGAAGUGCUUGUUGAUAACAUCUUAAGAUGGGAGCUAGGUUAGUAUCACAACCCUUCCUGGAAUUAUACAAUCAUUUCUUCACUACAGGAGCUAUGACUUAACACACGAGAGGUUGUGUUCUUAAUUAUUUUACCUAUUUGUAUUCUUCAUUUUAUUUUUAAAUACUAUUAUUUUUAAUGUUGAUUUCACUCUUGGUUUGUUCAAUAGGGGUGGGGAUAAUGUAGA
Molecule: long non-coding RNA, 1279 nt
Organism: Eleginops maclovinus (Patagonian blennie)
Lineage: Eukaryota; Metazoa; Chordata; Actinopteri; Perciformes; Eleginopidae
Exons: 3
Source: RefSeq, a predicted model, not a curated record